Molecule: transfer-messenger RNA, 375 nt
Filed under: Microbacteriaceae
Lineage: Bacteria; Bacillati; Actinomycetota; Actinomycetes; Micrococcales
Also listed under: 1 other name
Description: Conyzicola arctica Standard tmRNA
Rfam family: transfer-messenger RNA
About the family: Bacterial tmRNA, also known as 10Sa RNA or SsrA, is named for its dual tRNA and mRNA-like properties.
Source: RNAcentral
GGGGAUGAUCGGUUUCGACAUUGCCUGCAAAACUGCGAGAAGCGGGUCGAGGAUGCAGUCUUAUCUCGUAAACGAUGGCUGCAAACAAUAAGUGCCGAUAAAAACCGCACUGACUUCGCCCUCGCUGCCUAAGCGAGCGCACUAAAGAAGUCCGUCAGACCGAGGAUGCUCUCUACUCGGACCCUGGCGUAAUUUAGAGAGAUUGCUGCGUAGUUACGCCUGAGGGCUGCGUGGGACGUGAACCAGGGCUGGGCUUGUUGACCUGGAUGCUUGUGGCAAAGGUCAGAGCCAAGUAGAACGCCUUCACAAGCUACGCCCGUAGAAGGCGCAGAAUUACAGCAGUGGACCGGGGUUCAAUUCCCCGCAUCUCCACCA